Molecule: long non-coding RNA, 388 nt
Filed under: Homo sapiens (human)
Lineage: Eukaryota; Metazoa; Chordata; Mammalia; Primates; Hominidae
Description: HSALNT0000310
Source: RNAcentral
AUCAAUAGACAACCCAGAAUCAUAGUAGGAGAUUUUAACCUCUCUCUCCGAUUCUUAGAACAAUAGACCAAAAACAGCAAUAGACAAUCCACAAUCAUAGUCGGAGAUUUUAACCUCUCUCUCUCUCCAAUUCUUAGAACAAUAGACCAAAAACAUCAGCAGACAAUCCACAAUCAUAGUCAGAGAUUUUAACCUCUCUCUCUCCAAUUCUUAGAACAAUAGACCAAAAACAUCAAUAGACAAUCCACAAUCAUAGUCAGAGAUUGUAACCUCUCUGUCUCCAAUUCUUAGAACAAUAGACCAAAAACAUCAAUAAGACAACCCACAAUCAUAGUCGGAGAUUUUAACCUCUCUCUCUCUCUGAUUCUUAGAACAAUAGACCAAAAAC